Molecule: long non-coding RNA, 1405 nt
Organism: Entelurus aequoreus (snake pipefish)
Lineage: Eukaryota; Metazoa; Chordata; Actinopteri; Syngnathiformes; Syngnathidae
Exons: 3
Source: RefSeq, a predicted model, not a curated record
CCACCGCAAGGUGUCCUGGCUUGGGGGCGAAACAUCAGUGAACGGUGGCACCAGCUGACGACCCUGCAGCUGACCUCGAAGUGCACUGGAGGAGGUGCGACAGGCAGAGAUGCCAAGCAGUUAGGAACACACAGUUCUUCAUUCCCAACUGGUAUAAACGGACAACUGGAUGUUUUCAUGGUUAUCUUACCAUGAGGGUCACAUACUCAAGAAGUCUUCCUCACACUCACCGAUCAGGACACAUUGAUGAAAUCAUAUGAAAUUAUAGGAAUUAUGUAACCAUUUCCCCCUGUCAGGCAGGAAAAAAGAAAAAGUCCGAAGAGCUGCGUGGGUCGCAAACUCGGGUUGUAUGUACACAAGUGCAGUGGAAAACGGAUCAAGAUUUGGCAAUUUAUCAGGGAAAAUCCCAUUUGACAUGUUGAGACCUAUUUGACAUGUUGAAACCUAUGCAAUGUGCUAACUGCAGCGUGUGUUUACACUUUGAUUUACGGCAGCCCUGUUUGAAACUUUACCUUAAAGAAAUCAAGUGUCAUCCAUGUGAGACAUAUGUAUGUGUUUUAAAACUUAAUAAUAUGAAACUCAAGCUUAUGGCUUUGUAAAAAAAAUUCCAAAAAAAAAAAGUACAAUCUAAGAUAUCAUCCAGGUUGACUUGUCUAUUUUGGGCUUAGUGCAAACUUUAUUUUGGUCAUAAAAAAUACAAAAAUGCCACAUUGACCAGUGUAUUUUGGGCAAAAAAUGUAAAACUUGACCCUACGUGGUAAAACAGUGGUGUCAAACUCAUUUUAGAUCGGGGGCCACAUGGAGAAAAAUCUACUCCCAAGUGGGCCGGACUGGUAAAAUCACAGCACGAUAACUUAAAAAUAAAGACAACUUCAGAUUGUUUUCUUUGUUUAAAAAUAGAACAAGCGUAUUCUGAAAAUGUACAAAUCAUAAUGUUGUUGUUUUUUUUUACACUUGCAUGUUGCGGUUAAUAGUAUUCUAUCUUUAUUCGUUGUUAUUUAUACUGUCUUAAUAAAUUAUGUGAUAAUGUUCAUCAGUCAACUCAUGGGUGUCAAUUUUCAAUCAAUCAAGAUAAAAAUAUGUCAAAAAUAAAUUACAGGAUGUUAUUUAUGUAGUUUGCUCAUUUUCCUCGACUGAUGUACUAACAUAAUGUGGUUUAUAUUGUACAUACAGGUAUGUAGAAUCAUCUACAAAGAUAUAAAUCAGGGGUGUCCAAACCUUUUCCACUGAGGGCUGCACACUGAAAAAUCAAAGCAAGCGUGGGCCAUUUUGAUAUUUUUUAUUUUAAAAACCAAUACAAUAUAUGUAUAAAAAAGAUACAUUUAAGCCUCCACUCAGACUUGAUCCCAAAAGGUUUUGGUCAAAAAGAAAUAUUACAAAUGUGUCAUUAUUUAGUAUUAUUAUU